RNAcentral lists this non-coding RNA (775 nucleotides) under Curetis acuta. Lineage: Eukaryota; Metazoa; Arthropoda; Insecta; Lepidoptera; Lycaenidae. The record is from RNAcentral.
AAAAAAAUUUUUAUAGUUUAUAAAUUUUAUUAUAAAUUUAUUUUACAUACAAAUUUUUGUAUAAAAUUUUAAUUAUUUUAAGAAUAAUUAAUUAAAUUUUGUAGUAAUUAAUUUUAAAUUAUUUAAGAAAUUAAGAUUUAGUAAUAUUUAAAUUAAUAACAAAUUUUGUGCCAGCAGUUGCGGUUAAACAAAGGUUAAAUUAAAAUUUUUCAGUAUUAUAAUAAAUAAAUAAAAAUUAAAAUAAAUAUUAAAUUAUUAGGUGAAAUUUUAAUUUAAUAAAAUUUUAUAUAUUAUUUAUGAUUUAAUAAAUUUAAUAAAAAACUAGGAUUAGAUACCCUAUUAUUAAAAUUUAAUAUUAAAUACUAAAAUAGUAGGUAAUAAUUUAUUGAAACUUAAAUAAUUUGGCAGUAUUUUAGUUUAUUUAGAGGAAUCUGUUUAAUAAUUGAUAAUCCACGAAUAAAUUUACUUAAUUUAUAAUUUUAUAUAUCGUUGUUAAAAAAAUAUUUUUAAAUAAUAAUAAUAUUUUAAAAUUUAAAUAAAAAAUUAACUCAGAUCAAGAUGUAGAUGAUAAUUAAGAAUAUAAUGGAUUACAUUAAAUUUAUUUAAAUGGAUAUUUGUUUGUAAUAUAUAAUUAAAGGUGGAUUUAAAUGUAAUUUUAUUUAAUUUAAUAAAAUGAUUUUAAAUUAAAAUAUGUACAUAUUGCCCGUCGCUUUCAUUUAAAAAUUGAAAUAAGUCGUAACAAAGUAGAAGUAUUGGAAAAUGUUUCUAGAAUGAU